GCCAGUGUAGCUCAAUUGGUAGAGCUCCCGCUUUGUAAGCGGACGGUUGCGGGUUCGAGUCCCAUCACUGGCU
This 73-nucleotide transfer RNA is filed under the name Phycisphaerae bacterium. RNAcentral's name for it is "tRNA-Thr". It matches the Rfam family "tRNA". Rfam says of the family: Transfer RNA (tRNA) molecules are approximately 80 nucleotides in length. Their secondary structure includes four short double-helical elements and three loops (D, anti-codon, and T loops). Lineage: Bacteria; Pseudomonadati; Planctomycetota; Phycisphaerae. The record is from RNAcentral.